Choloepus didactylus (southern two-toed sloth) is the source of this 3995-nucleotide long non-coding RNA. RefSeq lists it as uncharacterized. Lineage: Eukaryota; Metazoa; Chordata; Mammalia; Pilosa; Megalonychidae. The record is from RefSeq and is a predicted model, not a curated record. The transcript has 3 exons.
UUCCUGCAUUUUCAGGUGGGCCUGGGCCGGGCGUUCACGUUUUCACCCAAGAAUCUGGCGAGGAGGUUGCUUUUGCUGCCCCCGUUUCACAGAUGGAGAAGGAACCCAGGCAGAGGACUUGGACCCCCACCGUGUGCCAUGCUGAGGGGCUCAGGGGGCCCCUUGCCCUCUCUGGCCCCAUUCCUCGGCCAGCUGGGCAGCUCGGCAGCUCCCUGGGCCCACCCCUCUGCCACUCCCAGCCCAGGCCGCCCCGGCAGAAGCUCCGGCCUGCCUGAGGCUGACCCCCGGCCCACUGACCCCAGCCCUGGCCCGGCGGCGGGCAUUGCUCAACCUUAGGCGUUAUCUGCUGAGCUGUAGUGACCUCCGCCCCCUAGAGCUGGAGAAAUGACAUCUCUGAGCGCCCUUGGCGGGUGGGGGGAAGGGAGGGAUGGGAUGAAACACCGGCCGGGCCUGCUCGCUUUCUGAGCCUUCCCAGCAGCCUCUGGGCCAGGGAGGGAUCCACGGCCCCGAGGGUUGCGGUGACAUCCCCAGAGCCACCCAGCCAGACUCCCGAGCUGUAAAUUGGGACACUCAGGGCUCAGCUCAGGGCCACCGCCUCCGAGGGGCCCUCCCUGUCCCGACCUGGUGAACUUCCUUCACAACCCUUGUCUCCCGCUGCCAUUAUCCUAGUUGCCUGUUUACUGGUCUACCUGGGUUCCUGCCCCCCAAGACUGUGUGCUCCAUGAGGGCUGGCAGUCACAGCGUGGAACUCCUGGGCCCAGCAUGCUCAAUACUUACCAGAAGGGGACGGUGGUGGGAGACUCAGAACUGCCUUCGCCCGGAGCCCACCAGAGCAGCUGUGUGCGACCAGCAAGGACCCAGGACGCAAGGAUCCACCCAAAGCCCCCCACACUUUCCCUGGGCUACAUAUUCAGGAGGAGAAAAGCAAGACGACUGGCCCAAGAGGAGACCCACCGUUGCUUCUUUGCAGGGGAAAUGGGGAAAGUAUUUGCAAGUGGCUUAGAAAUCAGCAGCGGGUGGGGGAAAUCAGGCUGAGAGGUGAACCAUCGGCCGUUAAUGGGGAGUGUCUCCAGUGGGGGCGGGGUGCUUACAGGCCUGGCCUUUUGUUCCUGCUCUGUGUCCUCCUUGCUGUGGCACUUUGGCCAAGUCUGGUGACCCCUCUGGGGCCCAGACCCUCACCUCAAAGGGGGGCCAUUAAUAUCCCUUCUCAAUUGGGGGCUCUGGGCUUGCUGUUCCCCCUCACUGCUGCCCUCGCCCAACAUUUGGGGGUGAAUCAGAUCUCUUUUUAAGCCCUGCACAUGCAACAAAGCAGGCAGAUGGGGAAACAGGCCCAGAGAAGUUCAGGGCAUCCCCCAGGACCCUUAAAACCAGAUCCCCUGAUUCCAAUGUCUGAGAGUUUUCUCCACCUUAACUCCUCUCUGAGGCCUCAGUUUCCCCAUCUGCCAAAUGGGGCCAGGGUUCCGUCCCUGAAGUGACCAGGCGGGACUGGAUUUUGGAGUACUGAAUGGAGCAGGACAGCCAGUGAAACUUGCCUGUGCAUAUGCUGCCACUAUGUGGCCACCUCUGGAACUGCAGGAGCGAUUUAAACAACUCUUGAUUGAGGCCCUGGGAUACCCAGGCCUGUAUGGCAGGUACUCACAGGACACGAGUGAGCCACUCAAAGACAUAAAGACGUCCAACUGACAGAUGACUGAGCACUUGAAACGUGGCUAGUGAAACUGGGAAGUCACUUUUAAAUUUUAUUUGAUUUUAACUUAAAACAGCCUCAUGUGGCUCAUUAUAGUCCUGGGCUGUACAUAUCUAGAACUAUCUCUAAGAUCUAUAGUUAAGCGAACAAAGCCAAGUGCAGGCCAGGAUUUAUUUGUGAAUUUGAGGAUGUAGAGACUCCCGCUGGGAGGGGCAGAAGAAACUGGCAACAGCGGCAGCCUUGGGGUGGGGGUGCUCUGGAUAUCGUCAUGUAACAAAGCACCCCACAACCUAGGGGCUUACAGCGACAACCAUUUCGUUUGCUCAUGGCCCAGUGGGCCAGUGGUUUGGACAGGGCACAGCGAGAGCAGCUUGUCUCUGCUGGCUGGAACCCCCAACGCGGCUUCUUCACUCCCACAUGUGGCAUCUCAGCCAGGAUGGCUCUGACGGUUGAUGGUUGCCUGGAUCAUACGUCUGCCGUCUCAGUUCCCAGUUCCUCAGUUCACUUUCAUGGAUUUUCUUCUUGGCCAGUGUCCUCUGUACAUGUCGCCUCUCCACAUGGAUUUCCACAGGGCCUCUUCUUGUGGUCUCUGCAUGGUCUCUCCAUUGCCCUCAGCACGUGGUCUCACUACGUGGCCUUCCACGUGGCCUCGUGGCUUCCCUGAGUGAUCUCUCCGUGUGGAUUUCCACAUGAUCUCUCCAUGUAGCCAUUUCACGUGGUCUCCCUGGUACAGCAGCCACAUACCUUGCAUAGCAGCUGACAUCCCCCAGAUCACAGAAGUGGAAGCUUCCAGGCUUUCGUAAGGCUUAAGCCUGAAACAUACAGCCCCACUUGUGUCACAGUCUAUUGGCAAGGGGAGGGAGCUACAGGGCAGGCCUCCCAGGAGGCCAGUUCACUGGGAGCCACUAAAGUGAGUCCCCACAGGAGCAGACCUGGCCAAGGCAGGAGGGAGACCUGCAACCUCUUGUAACCUAGCACGUUUACCACGGACAUGUCACAUGUCAUUGUCUGAGUUUCAAAAUCUAUCCAUUGCAGUCUUGUGUCCACACCUUAGCUCGGGUCGUUCCCCUACUUGUAAAGGCCUUCCUCUCUUCUCCAGCCGCAGAAGUGCCCAGGGAAGCUCUCCCUGAAUGCCCAAGCCACAAAACUCUCCCCUUCCUUCGGCUCCUCCUACACUCUGUGCCUCUGUGAUCUGAGCCAGCUCCUACCCCAGUGAAGUGGGUGUCAUUUCCCUUUCCUGAUGAUCAUGAUCAGCCCACUCUAGGCUACCUUUGCCCACUCCCCGCACACAUACACACACACACACACACAUUUACAUCCACACAGACAGUGGAAUCGCGCAGGUGCUGGGGAGGUGCUCAGUGAUUUGGGGGCGCGGCCCAGGACACCACACACUUGCCUGAUCCAGAGCCGGCUGGACCCGGGCUUCUGUGGUGGCACUGCCUGGGAUAGCCGCCAGGUGGCGCUGGAGCCCAGCCCCCAACCUCUGCAGCUGCUGGCUGAGGAGUCAAAGACCCCAGGGCAGCAGACUCCAAGCCCAGCUUUAAAGGGACGUUUCUCACUACUUUUAUUGCCCACAGCUCUCCCUCAUGAACUUCAAAACUUGAUUCCUUCUUGGGCAAAUUGGCCUUAAUUAUGGGUGCACCAGCCACUGAUGAAUGACAAAGCCUGGGUUAGUCUCCAAAAUCAUGUGUUGAGUGCAAGAUCCAAGCACAAAGGGGUACAUCGUGCAGGAUUCCAUUUCUGUGAGGCUCUGGACUAAUCUACAGUGGGAAAUAUCAGAACAGUAGUUGCCUCACCCUGGGAGGUGGGUGGGAUUGUCUGCAAAGGGGCUCGAGGGUACUUUUUGGGGUGGUGGUAAAGUUCUGUAUCUUGAAAGGCAUUUGGGUAACACAGAUGGAGGCAUGUUUGUCAAAAAUAAAAGUACACCUAAGAUUGUGUAUGUCACUGAAUGUAAGUUUUACAAAGAGAAGCAUAAACAAAUAUUGUACCCUCGUUAAUGACAUGCAUGCUGAAGUGUGUAGGGGUGAAGUGUGCUGGUGUCAGCAAUAUACUUGGAAAUGAAACGAAAACUAUAAUGGAUUGAUGGGUCGACAUCGGGAGGAGAGACCCAUGAUCAAGUGAGAGUAGCAGUCUGUCAACACAGACACUGGCUGACGCUUGGAGAUGGAGACAUAAGGACGUUUGGAGACGCUAAGCUAAGAGAUGAAGCCCAGAGUUUGUCCCGGAGAAGCUAAGAGAGGACCCCCACACACUAAGAGAGAAAUGUCCUGGGAGAAAGAAGCAAGGAUGCAGAGGAGCUGAGAGA